This 239-nucleotide long non-coding RNA is filed under the name Cricetulus griseus (Chinese hamster). RNAcentral describes it as "lncRNA (ENSCGRG00000025902.1)". The record is from RNAcentral. Lineage: Eukaryota; Metazoa; Chordata; Mammalia; Rodentia; Cricetidae.
UAAAGAUGGAGGUAUGUCAUGUGGCAACCUCGCCACUGCAUGCAUUUGUGUAGACCUAGCUGGUUACAUGGCCUCUUGAUGCAAUCCAGAGACAAGGUCUUUGGCAUAACCUUCCAUCGCAGGCAGAGAGUUAGCCUUGCUGGCUGGGGCCAAUCGACAGCUAAGACAGGGACCGGUAAGUAUACCCUAGAAUGUCUUUGGGAGAAACUGUUGAAGUCGCAGACUUAACAUCCUUUUAU